GAUGAACGCUAGCGAUAGGCCUAACACAUGCAAGUCGAGGGGCAUCACAUGAAGUAGCAAUACGGAUGGUGGCGACCGGCGCACGGGUGAGUAACACGUAUGCAACCUGCCUUCAACAAGGGGAUAACCCGUCGAAAGACGGACUAAUACCCUAUAACACAGGGGUCCCGCAUGGGAAUAUUUGUUAAAGGACAACCGGUUGAAGAUGGGCAUGCGUUCCAUUAGCUAGUUGGCGGGGUAAGGGCCCACCAAGGCAACGAUGGAUAGGGGAACUGAGAGGUUUAUCCCCCACACUGGUACUGAGACACGGACCAGACUCCUACGGGAGGCAGCAGUGAGGAAUAUUGGUCAAUGGACGCAAGUCUGAACCAGCCACGUCGCGUGAAGGGAGACGGCCCUACGGGUUGUAAACUUCUUUUGUAAGGGAAUAAAGU
This 434-nucleotide ribosomal RNA is filed under the name uncultured bacterium. Its description in RNAcentral is "bacterial SSU rRNA". It matches the Rfam family "Bacterial small subunit ribosomal RNA", at positions 28 to 452 of the family's 1533-position model. The record is from RNAcentral.